This 497-nucleotide ribosomal RNA is filed under the name uncultured bacterium. RNAcentral's name for it is "partial 16S ribosomal RNA". It matches the Rfam family "Bacterial small subunit ribosomal RNA", at positions 28 to 507 of the family's 1533-position model. The record is from RNAcentral.
GAUGAACGCUGGCGGCGUGCCCAAUACAUGCAAGUCGAGCGAACAGACGAGGAGCUUGCUCCUUCGACGUUAGCGGCGGACGGGUGAGUAACACGUAGGUAACCUACCUAUAAGACUGGGAUAACUUCGGGAAACCGGAGCUAAUACCGGAUAAUAUUUCGAACCGCAUGGUUCGAUAGUGAAAGAUGGCUUUGCUAUCACUUAUAGAUGGACCUGCGCCGUAUUAGCUAGUUGGUAAGGUAACGGCUUACCAAGGCAACGAUACGUAGCCGACCUGAGAGGGUGAUCGGCCACACUGGAACUGAGACACGGUCCAGACUCCUACGGGAGGCAGCAGUAGGGAAUCUUCCGCAAUGGGCGAAAGCCUGACGGAGCAACGCCGCGUGAGUGAUGAAGGUCUUCGGAUCGUAAAACUCUGUUAUUAGGGAAGAACAAACGUGUAAGUAACUGUGCACGUCUUGACGGUACCUAAUCAGAAAGCCACGGCUAACUACGUG